Molecule: ribosomal RNA, 484 nt
Filed under: uncultured bacterium
Lineage: Bacteria
Description: partial 16S ribosomal RNA
Rfam family: Bacterial small subunit ribosomal RNA
Source: RNAcentral
AUUGAACGCUGGCGGCAUGCCUUACACAUGCAAGUCGAACGGCAGCGCGGACUUCGGUCUGGCGGCGAGUGGCGAACGGGUGAGUAAUACAUCGGAACGUACCCUGUUGUGGGGGAUAACUAGUCGAAAGAUUAGCUAAUACCGCAUACGACCUGAGGGUGAAAGUGGGGGACCGCAAGGCCUCACGCAGCAGGAGCGGCCGAUGUCUGAUUAGCUAGUUGGUGGGGUAAAGACCCACCAAGGCGACGAUCAGUAGCUAGUCUGAGAGGACGAUCAGCCACACUGGGACUGAGACACGGCCCAGACUCCUACGGGAGGCAGCAGUGGGGAAUUUUGGACAAUGGGGGCAACCCUGAUCCAGCAAUGCCGCGUGUGUGAAGAAGGCCUUCGGGUUGUAAAGCACUUUUGUCCGGAAAGAAAUCGCGCUGGUUAAUACCUGGCGUGGAUGACGGUACCGGAAGAAUAAGCACCGGCUAACUACGUG